AUGCUCAGUUUCCCACUUUCCCCCCUCCUCCCUCCCCAAUGGGAUGGGGCGGAGCCUAGAGAGCGCCUAACUCCGCGCGCGCUCCCGGUGGCUAAAGUCCCGGGAAUUUCCCAGCGGGGAGCCCUCCAAGUGGGAUCGCCUUGCAGAGGGGUGUGUGCGCGCGCGCAGGAGAAAAGAAAACACUUGAAUGGAACUGAAGUAAAGGUUUGUGGCCCAAGACAGAAUUUGCAGAGAUCUUUCUUGUAAACAAACGA
Molecule: long non-coding RNA, 254 nt
Filed under: Pogona vitticeps (central bearded dragon)
Lineage: Eukaryota; Metazoa; Chordata; Lepidosauria; Squamata; Agamidae
Description: lncRNA (ENSPVIG00000001588.1)
Source: RNAcentral